GAGGAAAAGAAACUAACAAGGAUUCCCCUAGUAACGGCGAGUGAAGCGGGAAGAGCUCAAAUUUGAAAUCUGGUGGCCUCAGGUCAUCCGAGUUGUAAUCUAUAGAAGUGUUUUCCGUGCUGGCUCAUGUACAAGUCCCUUGGAACAGGGCGUCAUAGAGGGUGAGAAUCCCGUCCUUGACAUGAACUACCAGUGCUCUGUGAUACAUUUUCAACGAGUCGAGUUGUUUGGGAAUGCAGCUCAAAAUGGGUGGUAAAUUCCAUCUAAAGCUAAAUAUUGGCGAGAGACCGAUAGCGAACAAGUACCGUGAGGGAAAGAUGAAAAGCACUUUGGAAAGAGAGUUAAACAGUAUGUGAAAUUGUUGAAAGGGAAACGAUUGAAGUCAGUCGUGCUCUUUGGAUUCAGCCGGUUCUGCCGGUGUACUUCCUUUGAGUGGGGUCAACAUCAGUUUUGAUCGCUGGAUAAAGGCUGGAGGAACGUAGUACCCUCGGGUAAACUUAUAGCCUCCUGUCACAUACAGUGGUUGGGACUGAGGAACGCAGCACGCCUUUAUGGCCGGGAUUCGUCCACGUACGUGCUUAGGAUGUUGACAUAAUGGCUUUAAACGACCCGU
Molecule: ribosomal RNA, 613 nt
Filed under: Filobasidium magnum
Lineage: Eukaryota; Fungi; Basidiomycota; Tremellomycetes; Filobasidiales; Filobasidiaceae
Description: partial large subunit ribosomal RNA
Rfam family: Eukaryotic large subunit ribosomal RNA
Source: RNAcentral